GUGGGUAUAGCUCAGUGGUAAAGAGCAUGCUUAGCAUGCAUGAGGUCCUGGGUUCAGUACCUAGUACCUCCA
Transfer RNA from Camelus ferus (Wild Bactrian camel), 72 nucleotides. It matches the Rfam family "tRNA". From Rfam's summary of the family: Transfer RNA (tRNA) molecules are approximately 80 nucleotides in length. Their secondary structure includes four short double-helical elements and three loops (D, anti-codon, and T loops). Further hydrogen bonds mediate the characteristic L-shaped molecular structure. tRNAs have two regions of fundamental functional importance: the anti-codon, which is responsible for specific mRNA codon recognition, and the 3' end, to which the tRNAs corresponding amino acid is attached (by aminoacyl-tRNA synthetases). tRNAs cope with the degeneracy of the genetic code in two manners: having more than one tRNA (with a specific anti-codon) for a particular amino acid; and 'wobble' base-pairing, i.e. permitting non-standard base-pairing at the 3rd anti-codon position. The record is from Rfam. Lineage: Eukaryota; Metazoa; Chordata; Mammalia; Artiodactyla; Camelidae.